RNAcentral lists this transfer RNA (87 nucleotides) under Candidatus Phytoplasma luffae. RNAcentral describes it as "tRNA-Leu". It matches the Rfam family "tRNA". From Rfam's summary of the family: Transfer RNA (tRNA) molecules are approximately 80 nucleotides in length. Their secondary structure includes four short double-helical elements and three loops (D, anti-codon, and T loops). The record is from RNAcentral. Lineage: Bacteria; Bacillati; Mycoplasmatota; Mollicutes; Acholeplasmatales; Acholeplasmataceae.
GUGGAUAUGGCGGAAUGGUAUACGCGCAUGUUUGAGGGGCAUGUGAGAAUAUUUCUCUUAUGAGUUCGAGUCUCAUUAUCCACACCA